UAUUACGCGUACGUCCGU
RNAcentral lists this unclassified non-coding RNA (18 nucleotides) under Chlamydomonas reinhardtii. RNAcentral describes it as "small RNA Cre_2412". Lineage: Eukaryota; Viridiplantae; Chlorophyta; Chlorophyceae; Chlamydomonadales; Chlamydomonadaceae. The record is from RNAcentral.